Molecule: long non-coding RNA, 558 nt
Organism: Myotis daubentonii (Daubenton's bat)
Lineage: Eukaryota; Metazoa; Chordata; Mammalia; Chiroptera; Vespertilionidae
Source: RefSeq, a predicted model, not a curated record
UCUGGAGAAGACCACUGAGCAGAAAACUAAAGAAACCGAUUUUACAUCAUUUCCCAGGUGGAGAACAGUUGGCAUGUAAGCCCCUGACCAGUGCCCAUCCUCUCCUCUGUCUGUCUAUCUCACUCUUAGGUACCAUGUUCUUUGUUCUCUCUUAACUGCAACUCAUUUUUAAACUAGAUUGCUUUUUAAAGAAGACUAAAUAAAAUUUCCCUUAAGUUAUUUAGGUGGUGCUGGGGCUGCUGGGGCUGCUGGGAGCCUGAUAGAAGACACAAACAUGCAGCAGGGGGCCUGUACCCAGCAGCCCCAAGGCCCGCCACCUUGGUGCUGGGGCUGCUGGGGGUAUCAGAGACACAAACCCGCAGGCCCAGCACCCAGCAGACCCAAGGCCUUCGCAGCAGCGCUAAGGAGCAGCAAGCCGAGCGGUAGGAAGCAGCAAGCAGGUGGGAAGUAAGGAGGGAGGGGUCCCAGACUGUGAGAGGGCACAUGCUGGGCUAAGGGACCCCCCACCCAUCCCCAGUGCACGAAUUUCGUGCACCGGGCCUCUAGUAUUUAUUAUAU